GACGAACGCUGGCGGCGUGCCUAAUACAUGCAAGUUGAGCGAUGAAGAUUGGUGCUUGCACCAAUUUGAAGAGCAGCGAACGGGUGAGUAACGCGUGGGGAAUCUGCCUUUGAGCGGGGGACAACAUUUGGAAACGAAUGCUAAUACCGCAUAACAACUUUAAACAUAAGUUUUAAGUUUGAAAGAUGCAAUUGCAUCACUCAAAGAUGAUCCCGCGUUGUAUUAGCUAGUUGGUGAGGUAAAGGCUCACCAAGGCGAUGAUACAUAGCCGACCUGAGAGGGUGAUCGGCCACAUUGGGACUGAGACACGGCCCAAACCCCUACGGGAGGCAGCAGUAGGGAAUCUUCGGCAAUGGACGAAAGUCUGACCGAGCAACGCCGCGUGAGUGAAGAAGGUUGUCGGAUCGUAAAACUCUGUUGGUAGAGAAGAACGUUGGUGAGAGUGGAAAGCUCAUCAAGUGACGGUAACUACCCAGAAAGGGACGGCUAACUACGUG
This 497-nucleotide ribosomal RNA is filed under the name uncultured bacterium. RNAcentral's name for it is "partial 16S ribosomal RNA". It matches the Rfam family "Bacterial small subunit ribosomal RNA", at positions 28 to 507 of the family's 1533-position model. The record is from RNAcentral.